UUCAUUCUCUUCUCAGGGUUGCACUACAUUGAGCAUGUAGUGAGAGCAGUACUAUUAAUACCUGCACAAUAUGCCUGCAUCAAUUAGAGCUUUGCUUUACCUUAGUUCAAUUUUUGGAAAA
Molecule: non-coding RNA, 121 nt
Filed under: Carlito syrichta (Philippine tarsier)
Lineage: Eukaryota; Metazoa; Chordata; Mammalia; Primates; Tarsiidae
Description: U4atac minor spliceosomal RNA (ENSTSYG00000026857.1)
Rfam family: U4atac minor spliceosomal RNA
About the family: U4atac is an essential component of the minor U12-type spliceosome complex which is required for removal of the rarer class of eukaryotic introns (AT-AC, U12-type). These interacting stem loops have been shown to be required for in vivo splicing.
Source: Rfam by way of RNAcentral